Molecule: ribosomal RNA, 464 nt
Filed under: uncultured bacterium
Lineage: Bacteria
Description: partial 16S ribosomal RNA
Rfam family: Bacterial small subunit ribosomal RNA
Source: RNAcentral
GACGAACGCUGGCGGCGUGCUUAACACAUGCAAGUCGAACGGAAAGGCCCUGCUUGCAGGGUACUCGAGUGGCGAACGGGUGAGUAACACGUGGGUGAUCUGCCCUGCACUUCGGGAUAAGCUUGGGAAACUGGGUCUAAUACCGGAUAGGAACCAUCUUUAGUGUGGUGGUUGGAAAGUUUUUUCGGUGUAGGAUGAGCUCGCGGCCUAUCAGCUUGUUGGUGGGGUAAUGGCCUACCAAGGCGGCGACGGGUAGCCGGCCUGAGAGGGUGUACGGCCACAUUGGGACUGAGAUACGGCCCAGACUCCUACGGGAGGCAGCAGUGGGGAAUAUUGCACAAUGGGCGCAAGCCUGAUGCAGCGACGCCGCGUGGGGGAUGAAGGCCUUCGGGUUGUAAACUCCUUUCGCUAGGGACGAAGCUUUUUGUGACGGUACCAAGAUAAGAAGCACCGGCUAACUACGU